RNAcentral lists this ribosomal RNA (468 nucleotides) under uncultured bacterium. RNAcentral's name for it is "partial 16S ribosomal RNA". It matches the Rfam family "Bacterial small subunit ribosomal RNA", at positions 28 to 507 of the family's 1533-position model. The record is from RNAcentral.
GACGAACGCUGGCGGCGUGCUUAACACAUGCAAGUCGAACGGAAAGGCCCUGCUUUUGUGGGGUGCUCGAGUGGCGAACGGGUGAGUAACACGUGAGUAACCUGCCCUUGACUUUGGGAUAACUUCAGGAAACUGGGGCUAAUACCGGAUAGGAGCUCCUGCUGCAUGGUGGGGGUUGGAAAGUUUCGGCGGUUGGGGAUGGACUCGCGGCUUAUCAGCUUGUUGGUGGGGUAGUGGCUUACCAAGGCUUUGACGGGUAGCCGGCCUGAGAGGGUUACCGGCCACAUUGGGACUGAGAUACGGCCCAGACUCCUACGGGAGGCAGCAGUGGGGAAUAUUGCACAAUGGGCGGAAGCCUGAGGCAGCAACGCCGCGUGCGGGAUGACGGCCUUCGGGUUGUAAACCGCUUUCGCCUGUGACGAAGCGUGAGUGACGGUAAUGGGUAAAGAAGCACCGGCUAACUACGUG